Molecule: long non-coding RNA, 954 nt
Organism: Impatiens glandulifera
Lineage: Eukaryota; Viridiplantae; Streptophyta; Magnoliopsida; Ericales; Balsaminaceae
Exons: 3
Source: RefSeq, a predicted model, not a curated record
CUAAAAGCUUGGAGGUUGUGAUAGUCACGGAUUGUGGUCACUUUCCUAGUACCCUUUUUGUAUUGAAAUGUUAUAGUCUAAUUACCUUGAACAAAUAGGUCGGUCAUUUUAGGAUCUUUUUCUUAGUAAAUUAAUUAACAGUUAUAUAUUACAGAUAUGUAUGAGGUUUAUAAAUGAGCAUGGGGAAUCUUAAAUCAAUCAUCAUAAUAUAAUGACAUUUAUUAUUAUUAUUAUUAUUAUUAUUAUUUCUAGUAUAAAUGAAAAGGAGUUAACAUCUAUCUAUUCUUGAAUGACAACGGCAAGUAAAAGGCUGACACAUGGGGGCAUGAUAGACAAAAUUAUGAGUUAGCAGUCACAUUGGUUUUGAAUGUGUGUCUAGACAAUAUAUGAUUAGGUGUGACAAGUUGUUGAUUUUAGUGACCAAAAUUAAAUUAUGUUAAUUAUCUUGGCACUGGUACCAAACAACAGCAAGUAACACACCCUUUGGGAGCAUCUCUCCUUAAUUAAGUUGCCGCCUUAUCCACAGUCUAAUGGUCCAAGUCAAGUUCUCUGCGCACAAAUUCACCCAGCUGGACUGGAAUAUACUUACAAAGUGGAGUAACACCAGUUGAAUCUUUAAAGGCAUCACAUGUGGGAAUUCGCCCCACACCCGUUUAAGAUGGUCCAUGAGAUCCCCGUAUUGUAAUUUCAAGACUCUCUCUCUCUCUCUCUCUCUCUCUCUCUCUCACUCACUCAUCAUUAUCAAAACGAGUCGGGUUGAAGGAUUAAGACGUGCACUCAACUUGGUGGGCCAUGCUCGUGAUCCCCCAUGAGACAUCCUGCAUUUGGGGAAGGAAAGUAAAAGUAUAGCAAAGAAUCCUUAUUAUGAAACGCCAAAGAUGCCUACGCGGCGGUAGCGGUGGUCCUUCAAGAUGGUGGUAGCCAUGGUGGUCCUGUAGUAGAAAAGUUUCCAAG